CCCGUGUCAGGGUGGGCUGCCCUGGCCACAUGCUCCUAGUGCUCCCCGGUCUUUCUGCCCAGCACCCGUGUAACUCCUUCCUAGACUCAUGGAGGUCAUGUUCGUAUUUCUGCUACAGUGGAAGCGCCGUGGAGGCCAGGACCCGGCCUGUCUUGUUCACCCCUGCGUUCCCGGUUCUCAGCACAGGGCAAGGGUCAUGGUAUGUGCCCAGUGAACACUUCUCGCACACCAACAACCCAGGACACGGACUUUGUGCCCACUUUACAGCACAGGGCAAGGAGCCAAGGUCCAACCCGUGCUGUGCUGAGGUCACAGAGUUUGUCCAAGAUACAGGCACUGGAAUCUCACCCUCCAUUUGUUUGUUCAACAGGUUUUUAUCCGGCGCCCACUGGAUGCAGAGAUGGAGCUGAAGCCGCCCUGCGAAGGAGAGAGGCAAUAAAAGCGACAGCAGGGAGCGGGAGCCAUGGGAGCUGUGCACGUGCAGGACGGACCUCUGAGGGGACGUGGAGCUGGCCACAAGCUCAGCAGGGUCUUUGCAAAGAUGAGGUGGGGCCUGGAUUUGCUCUGCAUGGUCUCAAGAACCAGGGCUGGAACCGCCUUCUCCACCUAGACUCCGAUUCCUGCAAACACAGCGGUGAUGGAACCCUAAGGAAACGUGAAAGCGCCUGCCUUCUGCUCUCAAUAACAUCGCAGCUGAUCAAGCUCUGCCAGCUCGCGGCCCCGUGGCUCCCGGACCGAGAGAGUAGGAAAUUCAGAAUUGCCAACUCAGUUUUCCCCACCAAGCACAUUUUGUUUAAAAUUUUCAUCUAGAGUCACCAUAAUUUCUUAAAAGAAAAAACUUUUUUUUUUUUUUGAAGAUUAGCCCUGAGCUAACAUCUGCCACCAAUCCUCCUCUUUUUGCUGAGGAAGAUUGGCCCUGAGCUAACAUCUGUGCCUGUCUUCCUCCACUUUAUAUGUGGGACGCCUACGACAGCAUGGCGUGCCAAGCGGUGCCAUGUCCACACCCAGGAUCCAAACCGGUCAACCCUGGGCUGUCAAAGCAGAAUGUGCGCACUUAACCACUGCGCCACCGGGCUGGCCCCAGAAAAAACUUUUAAACACAGAAAGGAGUUAGUCUCAGAAUAGGGAAAAUAACCAGAGAGUUGUCAAUUCACGCUGAUGCUACCAAAUUUAUUUUGUAAAUAGCAUAUUUGAAAAGUUUGUUUGAAACAACCCAAAUUAUCUUCGGUGAUGAAUGGGUAAACCAAAUGUGGUCCAUCCAUACGAUGGAAUAUUAUUCAGCCAUAAAAAGGAAUGAGGGAUCGAUACAUACCACAAUGUGGGGGAAGCUCAGAAACGUGAUGCUAAGUGAAGGAGGCCAGACUCAAAAGGCCGCCUAUUGUACCGUUCUGUUUAUGUAAAAUGUCCCAAAUAGGCAAAUCCAUAGGAACAGAACGUAGACUGGUGGUUGUCAGGGGCUGGAAGGAGGGAGGAAAUGGAGAGAGACUGCUAGCGGGUACAGGCUUCUUUUGAGGGUGAUAAAAAUGUUCUGAAAUUAGAGAGUGGGGAUGGUUGCACGACAUUGUGAAUAUACUAAAAACCACUAAAUUGUAUACUUUAAAAUGACAACUUUUAUGUUUUAUGGAUUAUAGCUAAUUAAAAAAUACAGUUAAAAAACAUGAAUGUAGGAAAAAAGUUUGUGGAAGUAUGAAAAUGACGACCUUAAGUCGUCUUGACAUCCCCUUGGCGAGGGGCUGUUUGCAUCGGGAACCCUCCGUUGACUGUGUGUCACGAACUUUUCUGCUCCCGUGGAUUUUGCAACUGUUACAAAUCCGUUUUCACAGAGCCGGGUUGACCGAAACGGAAGCAAAGAGAGCUCACUUGUCCGCUCAAGGCAGAAUAUUCUGAGCCGUCACUGGCCAAGGGAUGCUGGGGUGGGGUCAACCCUGGCCCUUCACAUCUGCCCUGGACCUGGACGGAGGGCAGAGUGAGGUGGGCCAGGCUGCCUGCUAUGAUGGUCGUCCAUGUCUGGACAUCUUCAGCAUGGGGGGUGGGGACCGCUCCCUUGGAGAUGCCUGGGCUGCUGUCCUGUGAAGCCCCCUCCUGUCUCCCCCUCCCUCCGUUCCCUAACCCCUGCUCUGUUCACGAUGCUGGUGGAGAGUGGAUUUUUGGUGUUCAACAUGAACUGGAAGCUCAGUGUCACACGAGGACCAAUGGGGAGCAGCAGGAUAGCACCGAGGCAGUGGGGCCCAUGGCUUGGAAACCCCUGUGGGGAUCUCCAAGGGCGGGGCCCCAGCCGCUGUCUGGGUUGGGGAAUGAAUGCAGGGUGGGCAGGAUCAGCUCUGAAGUGGGGACUGUGGGGUCCCUGCAGGUAGAAGUCCACCUCU
Long non-coding RNA from Equus caballus (horse), 2366 nucleotides. NCBI's taxonomy places the organism in Eukaryota, Metazoa, Chordata, Mammalia, Perissodactyla, Equidae. The record is from Ensembl.